CAGAUUCUGUGGCAAAUAUGACACACAGAGUGAAACCCAGGAAGAUCGAGACCCUUGAAGGCCCAGACCAAGUCUACCAUGACAGCCUCCUGCCAUCAGCUCCAUAUCAAGCAAGGGCAUCUGGAAGCUUGUUUGGGAUGGAAACUGCUCCCUUUCACCAUCCCUGCUGGCCUUCUGUGGGCAGAGAGAUGCCCUGUGACUGUUCCUGUCUGAUCACAUUCCCCGCUCUCCUCACCCUGAAGCUAACAUCUCUGCACUGGCUGGAGCAAGUCCAAAGGUUGUUAAACACUGGUCUGGCUGCUGGGUUUUGCUGCAGGAGUGAAAGUGGAUGAAUGCCUUGUGCCCAUCCAUACCUUGCUAAGAGCUCCUUCUUCUGACAUCCCACCUUGGGGCUAAGCCUGCUCCCCUGGCUCUGGUGCUAAAAAUAUAAAUCACCUUUUGUAGCUGGCUAAACCUUUGCUUUAUGGGUCUGUUCCUUUAAGCAAAAGCAGUAGGAACAGUGGAGGGAGUGUAGCUAAAGAUGUAUUUACUUGAAACAUCCAGAGCUCUGAAUAUAUCACCAGCAUGGGCCAGAAUGGCCUGGAGAACAUCUGUGCUUCAGCUUUGCUCAACAAAGACAAAUACGUCUCACUCGGUGCUUUGUUCUUAUAUAAGUUUCCAUAUUGGUAGAAAUAAUUCAAUGUAUCUUGGUAAUUCUGUUAAGGCAGGCUCACCAGUUUCCCCACUUCAGAUUCAAUAGUAAUUGUGUUGAUAUUACCUGCAGGUAUCUUUGUAAGAUAAUGCUGUUAAUGUCACUACUCCAGAAGCUUUAUCAAUACAUUAAUUGGUGCAGGAAAGUUGACAGCCUGCCCUUACAAGUGCCUGGCUUUGAGCAACCUGAAACUGAAAUGAUUAUUUGAAAUUAUUUUAAUUUUUGAGGAUAGUGCUCUGCAGAAGGACAGC
Serinus canaria (Common canary) is the source of this 942-nucleotide long non-coding RNA. RefSeq lists it as uncharacterized. The record is from RefSeq and is a predicted model, not a curated record. The transcript is spliced from 3 exons. NCBI's taxonomy places the organism in Eukaryota, Metazoa, Chordata, Aves, Passeriformes, Fringillidae.